This 621-nucleotide ribosomal RNA is filed under the name uncultured bacterium. RNAcentral's name for it is "bacterial SSU rRNA". It matches the Rfam family "Bacterial small subunit ribosomal RNA", at positions 116 to 716 of the family's 1533-position model. The record is from RNAcentral.
CGUGGGUGACCUGCCUUCGAGCGGGGGAUAACGUCCCGAAAGGGACGCUAAUACCGCAUAACAUCCUGCUUUUCAAGAGGUGGAGAUCAAAGCUGGGGAUCGCAAGACCUAGCACUCGAAGAGGGGCCCGCGUCCGAUUAGCUAGUUGGUGAGGUAACGGCUCACCAAGGCAACGAUCGGUAGCCGGCCUGAGAGGGCGGACGGCCACACUGGGACUGAGACACGGCCCAGACUCCUACGGGAGGCAGCAGUGGGGAAUUGUUCGCAAUGGGCGCAAGCCUGACGACGCAACGCCGCGUGGAGGAUGAAGAUCUUCGGGUCGUAAACUCCUUUCGAUCGAGACGAAUUCCCCUGGGGUGAACAGCCUCGGGGGUUGACGGUACCGAGAGAAGAAGCCCCGGCUAACUCCGUGCCAGCAGCCGCGGUAAUACGGGGGGGGCAAGCGUUGUUCGGAAUUACUGGGCGUAAAGGGCUCGUAGGCGGCCAACUAAGUCAGACGUGAAAUCCCUCGGCUUAACCGGGGAACUGCGUCUGAUACUGGAUGGCUUGAGUUUGGGAGAGGGAUGCGGAAUUCCAGGUGUAGCGGUGAAAUGCGUAGAUAUCUGGAGGAACACCGGUGGC